AGUAGGAUAGGCGAAGCGUGCUGUUGGAGUGCACGUCCAAGCAGUAAGGCUGAGUGUUAGGCAAAUCCGGCACUAAUAAGGCUGAGCUGUGAUGGGGAGAGGAAAUUGUUUCCUCGAGUCGCUGAUUUCACACUGCCGAGAAAAGCCUCUAGAUAGAUAACAGGUGCCCGUACCGCAAACCGACACAGGUAGUCAAGAUGAGAAUUCUAAGGUGAGCGAGCGAACUCUCGUUAAGGAACUCGG
This 243-nucleotide ribosomal RNA is filed under the name Staphylococcus epidermidis. RNAcentral describes it as "partial 23S ribosomal RNA". It matches the Rfam family "Bacterial large subunit ribosomal RNA", at positions 1476 to 1717 of the family's 2925-position model. Lineage: Bacteria; Bacillati; Bacillota; Bacilli; Caryophanales; Staphylococcaceae. The record is from RNAcentral.